CGAAGGGUGCGAGCGUUAUUCGGAAUAACUGGGCGUAAAGAGCGUGAAGGCGGUCUUUUAAGUCACUUGUUAAAGGGCUCGGCUUAACCGAGUGCAUGCGGGUGAAACUGGGAGACUAGAGUGCGGGAGAGAAAGGUAGAAUUCUCGGAGUAGCGGUAAAAUGCGUAGAUCUCGAGAGGAAUACCGGUUGCGAAGGCGGCCUUUUGGCCCGUAACUGACGCUCAAGCGCGAAAGCGUGGGGAGCAAACAGGAUUAGAUACCCUGGUAGUCCACGCCGUAAACGAUGAUCACUAGAUGUGGGUUGUGCAUAGCAUAAUCUGUGUCGAAGCUAACGCGUUAAGUGAUCCGCCUGGGAAGUACGGUCGCAAGAUUA
This 373-nucleotide ribosomal RNA is filed under the name uncultured organism. RNAcentral's name for it is "bacterial SSU rRNA". It matches the Rfam family "Bacterial small subunit ribosomal RNA", at positions 526 to 896 of the family's 1533-position model. The record is from RNAcentral.